RNAcentral lists this ribosomal RNA (1514 nucleotides) under Weissella confusa. RNAcentral's name for it is "bacterial SSU rRNA". It matches the Rfam family "Bacterial small subunit ribosomal RNA". The record is from RNAcentral. Lineage: Bacteria; Bacillati; Bacillota; Bacilli; Lactobacillales; Lactobacillaceae.
AGGCAUGCGGCAGCUAUACAUGCAAGUCGAACGCUUUGUGGUUCAACUGAUUUGAAGAGCUUGCUCAGAUAUGACGAUGGACAUUGCAAAGAGUGGCGAACGGGUGAGUAACACGUGGGAAACCUACCUCUUAGCAGGGGAUAACAUUUGGAAACAGAUGCUAAUACCGUAUAACAAUGACAACCGCAUGGUUGUUAUUUAAAAGAUGGUUCUGCUAUCACUAAGAGAUGGUCCCGCGGUGCAUUAGCUAGUUGGUAAGGUAAUGGCUUACCAAGGCGAUGAUGCAUAGCCGAGUUGAGAGACUGAUCGGCCACAAUGGGACUGAGACACGGCCCAUACUCCUACGGGAGGCAGCAGUAGGGAAUCUUCCACAAUGGGCGAAAGCCUGAUGGAGCAACGCCGCGUGUGUGAUGAAGGGUUUCGGCUCGUAAAACACUGUUGUAAGAGAAGAAUGACAUUGAGAGUAACUGUUCAAUGUGUGACGGUAUCUUACCAGAAAGGAACGGCUAAAUACGUGCCAGCAGCCGCGGUAAUACGUAUGUUCCAAGCGUUAUCCGGAUUUAUUGGGCGUAAAGCGAGCGCAGACGGUUAUUUAAGUCUGAAGUGAAAGCCCUCAGCUCAACUGAGGAAUUGCUUUGGAAACUGGAUGACUUGAGUGCAGUAGAGGAAAGUGGAACUCCAUGUGUAGCGGUGAAAUGCGUAGAUAUAUGGAAGAACACCAGUGGCGAAGGCGGCUUUCUGGACUGUAACUGACGUUGAGGCUCGAAAGUGUGGGUAGCAAACAGGAUUAGAUACCCUGGUAGUCCACACCGUAAACGAUGAGUGCUAGGUGUUUGAGGGUUUCCGCCCUUAAGUGCCGCAGCUAACGCAUUAAGCACUCCGCCUGGGGAGUACGACCGCAAGGUUGAAACUCAAAGGAAUUGACGGGGACCCGCACAAGCGGUGGAGCAUGUGGUUUAAUUCGAAGCAACGCGAAGAACCUUACCAGGUCUUGACAUCCCUUGACAACUCCAGAGAUGGAGCGUUCCCUUCGGGGACAAGGUGACAGGUGGUGCAUGGUUGUCGUCAGCUCGUGUCGUGAGAUGUUGGGUUAAGUCCCGCAACGAGCGCAACCCUUAUUACUAGUUGCCAGCAUUCAGUUGGGCACUCUAGUGAGACUGCCGGUGACAAACCGGAGGAAGGUGGGGAUGACGUCAAAUCAUCAUGCCCCUUAUGACCUGGGCUACACACGUGCUACAAUGGCGUAUACAACGAGUUGCCAACCCGCGAGGGUGAGCUAAUCUCUUAAAGUACGUCUCAGUUCGGAUUGUAGGCUGCAACUCGCCUACAUGAAGUCGGAAUCGCUAGUAAUCGCGGAUCAGCACGCCGCGGUGAAUACGUUCCCGGGUCUUGUACACACCGCCCGUCACACCAUGAGAGUUUGUAACACCCAAAGCCGGUGGGGUAACCUUCGGGAGCCAGCCGUCUAAGGUGGGACAGAUGAUUAGGGUGAAGUCUAGAAGUGGCUUGUUCCA